Molecule: transfer RNA, 76 nt
Filed under: Candidatus Omnitrophota bacterium
Lineage: Bacteria; Pseudomonadati; Candidatus Omnitrophota
Also listed under: 1 other name
Description: Candidatus Omnitrophica bacterium tRNA-Lys
Rfam family: tRNA
About the family: Transfer RNA (tRNA) molecules are approximately 80 nucleotides in length.
Source: RNAcentral
GGGCCGUUAGCUCAAUUGGCAGAGCAUCUGCCUCUUAAGCAGAGGGUUGAAGGUUCGAUUCCUUCACGGCUCACCA